RNAcentral lists this microRNA precursor (46 nucleotides) under Microcebus murinus (gray mouse lemur). Its description in RNAcentral is "microRNA mmr-mir-6313 precursor (mmr-mir-6313-1)". The record is from miRBase by way of RNAcentral. Lineage: Eukaryota; Metazoa; Chordata; Mammalia; Primates; Cheirogaleidae.
CCCAAAUUUUACAGAACAAAUCUUUUUGUUCUGUGAAGUUUGUAUU